GGUUAAGCGACUAAGCGUACACGGUGGAUGCCCUGGCAGUCAGAGGCGAUGAAGGACGUGCUAAUCUGCGAUAAGCGUCGGUAAGGUGAUAUGAACCGUUAUAACCGGCGAUUUCCGAAUGGGGAAACCCAGUGUGAUUCGUCACACUAUCAUUAACUGAAUCCAUAGGUUAAUGAGGCGAACCGGGGGAACUGAAACAUCUAAGUACCCCGAGGAAAAGAAAUCAACCGAGAUUCCCCCAGUAGCGGCGAGCGAACGGGGAGCAGCCCAGAGCCUGAAUCAGUGUGUGUGUUAGUGGAAGCGUCUGGAAAGGCGUGCGAUACAGGGUGACAGCCCCGUACACAAAAAUGCACAUACUGUGAGCUCGAUGAGUAGGGCGGGACACGUGGUAUCCUGUCUGAAUAUGGGGGGACCAUCCUCCAAGGCUAAAUACUCCUGACUGACCGAUAGUGAACCAGUACCGUGAGGGAAAGGCGAAAAGAACCCCGGCGAGGGGAGUGAAAAAGAACCUGAAACCGUGUACGUACAAGCAGUGGGAGCACGCUUAGGCGUGUGACUGCGUACCUUUUGUAUAAUGGGUCAGCGACUUAUAUUCUGUAGCAAGGUUAACCGAAUAGGGGAGCCGAAGGGAAACCGAGUCUUAACUGGGCGUUAAGUUGCAGGGUAUAGACCCGAAACCCGGUGAUCUAGCCAUGGGCAGGUUGAAGGUUGGGUAACACUAACUGGAGGACCGAACCGACUAAUGUUGAAAAAUUAGCGGAUGACUUGUGGCUGGGGGUGAAAGGCCAAUCAAACCGGGAGAUAGCUGGUUCUCCCCGAAAGCUAUUUAGGUAGCGCCUCGUGAAUUCAUCUCCGGGGGUAGAGCACUGUUUCGGCAAGGGGGUCAUCCCGACUUACCAACCCGAUGCAAACUGCGAAUACCGGAGAAUGUUAUCACGGGAGACACACGGCGGGUGCUAACGUCCGUCGUGAAGAGGGAAACAACCCAGACCGCCAGCUAAGGUCCCAAAGUCAUGGUUAAGUGGGAAACGAUGUGGGAAGGCCCAGACAGCCAGGAUGUUGGCUUAGAAGCAGCCAUCAUUUAAAGAAAGCGUAAUAGCUCACUGGUCGAGUCGGCCUGCGCGGAAGAUGUAACGGGGCUAAACCAUGCACCGAAGCUGCGGCAGCGACGCUUAUGCGUUGUUGGGUAGGGGAGCGUUCUGUAAGCCUGUGAAGGUGUGCUGUGAGGUAUGCUGGAGGUAUCAGAAGUGCGAAUGCUGACAUAAGUAACGAUAAAGCGGGUGAAAAGCCCGCUCGCCGGAAGACCAAGGGUUCCUGUCCAACGUUAAUCGGGGCAGGGUGAGUCGACCCCUAAGGCGAGGCCGAAAGGCGUAGUCGAUGGGAAACAGGUUAAUAUUCCUGUACUUGGUGUUACUGCGAAGGGGGGACGGAGAAGGCUAUGUUGGCCGGGCGACGGUUGUCCCGGUUUAAGCGUGUAGGCUGGUUUUCCAGGCAAAUCCGGAAAAUCAAGGCCGAGGCGUGAUGACGAGGCACUACGGUGCUGAAGCAACAAAUGCCCUGCUUCCAGGAAAAGCCUCUAAGCAUCAGGUAACAUCAAAUCGUACCCCAAACCGACACAGGUGGUCAGGUAGAGAAUACCAAGGCGCUUGAGAGAACUCGGGUGAAGGAACUAGGCAAAAUGGUGCCGUAACUUCGGGAGAAGGCACGCUGAUACGUAGGUGAAGCGACUUGCUCGUGGAGCUGAAAUCAGUCGAAGAUACCAGCUGGCUGCAACUGUUUAUUAAAAACACAGCACUGUGCAAACACGAAAGUGGACGUAUACGGUGUGACGCCUGCCCGGUGCCGGAAGGUUAAUUGAUGGGGUUAGCGCAAGCGAAGCUCUUGAUCGAAGCCCCGGUAAACGGCGGCCGUAACUAUAACGGUCCUAAGGUAGCGAAAUUCCUUGUCGGGUAAGUUCCGACCUGCACGAAUGGCGUAAUGAUGGCCAGGCUGUCUCCACCCGAGACUCAGUGAAAUUGAACUCGCUGUGAAGAUGCAGUGUACCCGCGGCAAGACGGAAAGACCCCGUGAACCUUUACUAUAGCUUGACACUGAACAUUGAGCCUUGAUGUGUAGGAUAGGUGGGAGGCUUUGAAGUGUGGACGCCAGUCUGCAUGGAGCCGACCUUGAAAUACCACCCUUUAAUGUUUGAUGUUCUAACGUGGACCCGUGAUCCGGGUUGCGGACAGUGUCUGGUGGGUAGUUUGACUGGGGCGGUCUCCUCCUAAAGAGUAACGGAG
RNAcentral lists this ribosomal RNA (2279 nucleotides) under Escherichia coli. Its description in RNAcentral is "partial 23S ribosomal RNA". It matches the Rfam family "Bacterial large subunit ribosomal RNA", at positions 1 to 2305 of the family's 2925-position model. Lineage: Bacteria; Pseudomonadati; Pseudomonadota; Gammaproteobacteria; Enterobacterales; Enterobacteriaceae. RNAcentral also lists the same sequence under 2 other names. The record is from RNAcentral.